This 1112-nucleotide long non-coding RNA is filed under the name Heterocephalus glaber (naked mole-rat). RNAcentral's name for it is "lncRNA (ENSHGLG00000040224.1)". Lineage: Eukaryota; Metazoa; Chordata; Mammalia; Rodentia; Bathyergidae. The record is from RNAcentral.
GGAAAUGCUGUGUACUGAGUGCUGGCCGGGUCGUGCCCUUUUACCCAUGUGUACAGUUUUCCGAAGAGCUUGGCCCAGACAGCCCUAGUGCCUCUGUAUAUAGAUGAAGGUUGUGAGGCUCAGAGAAGGUAAAUGAGGAGCCUGAGGACAUCAGCCUGCCGAGCUCAGGGGCUCCUCGCCCUGCACCCAGCAGCCUCUGGUGUCCCAAGCUGUGGCCUGGCCCAGGGUGGAGGACAUGGCUGACCCAGGUCUCUUGGUGCUGUUUGUCUGGCAACACCUGACGAGGUCUCCUUUUCUGCACCCAUUCCUUCAUUCCUGAGCAUGCUAGGCUGUGUGCUGGCUCCUGGGCAGAACACACUGGAUGAGCCAGGUGCCGUCCUUCCCAUUCAGAGCCUGAAGCUAGUGGGGACCCUAAGGAGAUUCAGGGACAUCCAGCUUUAUGGCUGGGAGUAAUUUUAAAUCCAGCCUCUCUUCAACUUUCACACACCACCUCCACCUGUUCUUCAGUGUGGUGGGGAACAGAACCUAUUGGGGCCCUCACCUUGAGGCAAGCAUGUCUUCCAGGCUGCCCAGCCACAAGGGGGUGCUGUAACAGCCGUGAGCAGGAUUUCCCAGGCUCUAGCUUGCACUCAAUGGCAGGAGCUCUGGCUCUGUUUACCAUGCCCGCAGGGACUUCAAGAGUCCCCAUUUGAGACCCAUGCUGGCCACCUGGGCCACCAUUUGUCUCCCCUCCUGCUCCAGGUGUAUGGGGAAGACCUGUCUGCCUUCACCUAGGCCAUGUCUUGAUGCUGCCCAAGAAGCCACAUCUUGUGCACAUCUGGUGCAGGGGAUCCUUGCACCAGGCUGGGCAUGAGCCAAGGUUCUCUUCCACGAGCGGAUCCUUUUCCAAGUGGGAACGCCUGGAGAGCCAGGGACUUGAAUCUUUUGGGUAUGAAGCCUCCCCACUCCCGAAAGAUCUAUCGUAUAAUUGAGCUAUCCUACUUCUGGGUGAAUAUCUGAGGAAAAUGAAAUCAGCACACUAAAGAGACACCUGCACACCCAUGUACGAUGCAGCAUGAGUCACAAGAGCCAAGAUCUGGGAUCUUGCCCACCAACAGAUGAAUGAAUAAAGG